ACGAACGCUGGCGGCGUGCUUCACACAUGCAAGUCGCACGGAAAGGCCCUGCUUUUGUGGGGUGCUCGAGUGGCGAACGGGUGAGUAACACGUGAGUAACCUGCCCUUGACUUUGGGAUAACUUCAGGAAACUGGGGCUAAUACCGGAUAGGAGCUCCUGCUGCAUGGUGGGGGUUGGAAAGUUUCGGCGGUUGGGGAUGGACUCGCGGCUUAUCAGCUUGUUGGUGGGGUAGUGGCUUACCAAGGCUUUGACGGGUAGCCGGCCUGAGAGGGUGACCGGCCACAUUGGGACUGAGAUACGGCCCAGACUCCUACGGGAGGCAGCAGUGGGGAAUAUUGCACAAUGGGCGGAAGCCUGAUGCAGCAACGCCGCGUGCGGGAUGACGGCCUUCGAGUUGUAAACCGCUUUCGCCUGUGACGAAGCGUGAGUGACGGUAAUGGGUAAAGAAGCACCGGCUAACUACGUG
This 467-nucleotide ribosomal RNA is filed under the name uncultured bacterium. Its description in RNAcentral is "partial 16S ribosomal RNA". It matches the Rfam family "Bacterial small subunit ribosomal RNA", at positions 29 to 507 of the family's 1533-position model. The record is from RNAcentral.